This 617-nucleotide ribosomal RNA is filed under the name uncultured Bacteroidota bacterium. RNAcentral's name for it is "bacterial SSU rRNA". It matches the Rfam family "Bacterial small subunit ribosomal RNA", at positions 824 to 1456 of the family's 1533-position model. Lineage: Bacteria; Pseudomonadati; Bacteroidota. The record is from RNAcentral.
UGGCAAUACAUCGUCAGCGACUGAGCAAAAGCAUUAAGUGAUCCACCUGGGGAGUACGACCGCAAGGUUGAAACUCAAAGGAAUUGACGGGGGCCCGCACAAGCGGAGGAACAUGUGGUUUAAUUCGAUGAUACGCGAGGAACCUUACCUGGGCUUAAAUGUAGAACGACGGACCGGGAAACUGGUCUUUCUUCGGACGGUCUGCAAGGUGCUGCAUGGCUGUCGUCAGCUCGUGCCGUGAGGUGUCGGGUUAAGUCCCAUAACGAGCGCAACCCUCAUCAUUAGUUGCCAGCGGGUAAUGCCGGGGACUCUAAUGAAACUGCCGGUGUAAACCGAGAGGAAGGUGGGGAUGACGUCAAGUCAGCACGGCCCUUAUGUCCAGGGCUACACACGUGUUACAAUGGUCGGUACAAAGGGCAGCUACCUGGUAACAGGAUGCUAAUCUCCAAAACCGAUCUCAGUUCGGAUCGAAGUCUGCAACUCGACUUCGUGAAGCUGGAUUCGCUAGUAAUCGCGCAUCAGCCAUGGCGCGGUGAAUACGUUCCCGGGCCUUGUACACACCGCCCGUCAAGCCAUGGAAGCUGGGGGUACCUGAAGUCCGUAACCGCAAGAGCGGC